Molecule: long non-coding RNA, 1003 nt
Organism: Helianthus annuus (common sunflower)
Lineage: Eukaryota; Viridiplantae; Streptophyta; Magnoliopsida; Asterales; Asteraceae
Exons: 2
Source: RefSeq, a predicted model, not a curated record
UCAUUCUUUUUAUUCAUUCAUUCAUUCAAAGUUACACAAAUGAAAUGGAAAGGAAGGAGCAAACUGAAAAAAGAAAAAAACCCUCUUAAUUUGCGAAUCAAAGAAAGACAAUGAUAUAUAUAUGUAGGUGGUUACUAACAGCUAUAUAAAGCUGAAAACCCUAUGACCCUCAUUUCUUGAAAACCCCCACCACAUUUCUUCUUCUCCAUCAUCUUUUCUCUCUCAGCAACAAUGGAACCCAACCCCAAAACCCACCGCAUCACAUCCCUCCAAACCCACAAAACCCACCGCCUCAAAACCCACAAUUCCCACUGCAUAGCAGCCCUAAAAAUCACGAUAUCAUCCUUCUAACUGACAUUGAUGACUUCAUAGAUCCGAAGAAAACAAAACAAUGGUGUCGUUUGUAAAAAGACAAUGGCGUCGCUCGUAAAAAAACAAUAGUGUCGCUCGGAUUUUUCCUAUUAUACGUUGUAUUUGCUACACAAAAUUCAAUGGUGUCAGACGACACCGUUGUUCAAAGUGUGACUCCGCCAAUGCUGUCGCGCCCCGCGAGAGCCGGAGGCCUUGUUGAUGAAACCCGCAGGAAUCCUUUGCAACAUAUCAACAUUAUGUCUGAUUUUUUCGAUAACUACUGGAGUGAAAAAGGCGUUUUCUUUGAUGAUGUUAACGUGCUUUAUGAGCAUGUCAAGGACUUAAGACAAAGGUUUCUCAUGGAUGUACAAAGGCAAAGCCUUGGUGUCGACAUUAUGGCUCAGAUGGAUUCAAAUGAUGAAGAAAUUUUUCGACUGUCCAAUGAGAUAUGGGGUUAAAUUUAAAAUUAAGAUUCCGAUGAUGAUGCAUGCAUGCAUAACUCACACUUGGUAACGGUAAUCGCUUUUGGGUUUCUUGAUUUUGAAAUUUAUUUGUUGAUUCGAUUUGAAAUACGCUCUCUUUGGUCCUACGAUGAAUUUGUUAAUGAUUGUCUGUGUUAGAUUUUAAUCUUACCAACUUUUUUUACGUUCAA